Molecule: non-coding RNA, 30 nt
Filed under: Mus musculus (house mouse)
Lineage: Eukaryota; Metazoa; Chordata; Mammalia; Rodentia; Muridae
Source: RNAcentral
UAGGCUGGAUAAUUGAUGAAUGCUGGAGUC